This 2964-nucleotide long non-coding RNA is filed under the name Zonotrichia albicollis (white-throated sparrow). RNAcentral describes it as "lncRNA (ENSZALG00000004594.1)". The record is from RNAcentral. Lineage: Eukaryota; Metazoa; Chordata; Aves; Passeriformes; Passerellidae.
UCCCUGGGCAGCGAGUCGGGCUGGAGCCUUUCCCAGUCCUUUGAGUGGACGUUCCCAUCGCGGGGGGCACGCUUGCCAGCCUUCCCUCCCCGCUCCCCCAUCCGGGAGACGCCCGACUCAGGGCUCUCCGAAGAGGGGGAGUCAGAUGGGGAGGCUGCAGCCCCCAGCCCUCCAAAGGACAGCAGGGCUGAAGGACCUGGCAGCCAGCAGGCAGAGGGGGCUCCAUGCCCAGGGGGUCCCGUGGCACAGCGAGAGGCUGAGCACUCAGCAGAGGAGGAGGAAAGGGAGGCAGAGCAGGAUGCUCCCAUGUCCCACUCCCCACUUCAUGUGACAGAGCCUAGCCAGCAGCCAGCUGAGCCUGAGUCCCCCACCCAGCCCAGCCUUACCAUAACUGCCCCCCUGGAUCCAGCCCCACCAGAUCCAGCUGCUCCAGCUAGCUCAGCCUGGGCAGGUGAUGGCCCCAAGAGCCUGCAGGGUCCUGGGGGCCCAGGCCAGGCUGAAAAACCCUCGCAGGAGCCUGACCCCCACGCUGACCCAGGCUGGCUGACAGAACUAUUGGAGUCACCUGGGGUCCACAGCUCUCCAGAGAACCUGCUGGGCUGGUCACGGAAGGACCUGUGCAGUGAGUUCGGCAUUGGCCACCCUCGCCAGGACAGCAGCUUUGACUGGAGCCACCCAGGUGCAUCCAGGGAGAGAGACUGGCCUGUUGAGACCAAGCAGGACCAGGAAUUUGGGACCAAAUCCAGCUGGGACAGCAACCACAGCAACAAGGACAGCACUGCCCGUGAGAGCUGGAGCGGUGACUACAGAGCAGCGGAGCUGAUGGGGGACACGAAACUGGGCUGCAGCGACUGGUCCCGGUCCCUUGGCACUGCAAAGAGCUGCCCACAGGAUCCAGACUUCAGUGCCAGCACAGCUGAGUGGGGCCAGGGCUAUGGCAGCACGGAGGAGCUUGGUUCCAGACAGGCCAACUGGGGCAGUGACCUUGGCACGGGACACGUCCGACAGCUGGACAAGGAGCCACGCUCCGGGCAGCCCACCUGGGCAGACAGGUACAGCGACAGGGACACAGAGAUGAAGGACAGGGAGCUCACCCCAGACUGGGCCAGUAAAUACAGCAGCCAGGAUGCUGGGAACAAGGAGGAGAAUUUAACACUGGGCUGGGCUGGCAGAUCCAGCACUGGGGACAGCCCAGAUAAGGAGCUCAGCCCCAGCCGGCCAGCCUGGGAUAGGAGGUAUAACCCCAGGGACAUGGAGAGCCAGGACAGGGAGUUCAGCCCCAGCCGGCCGGCCUGGACUGGUGAAAUCAGGGACAUGGAAAGCCAGGACAGGGAGUUCAGCCCCAGGAGACCAGCCUGGACUGGUGAAUACAGGGAAACAAAAAGCCCGGACCAGGAGUUCAGCCCCAGCAGACCAGCCUGGGAUGACAGAUCCAGCACCAAGGAGAUGGAGAGACAGGACCAGGAGUUCAGUCCCAGCAGACCAGCUUGGGAUGACAGAUCCAGCAGCAGGGACAUGGAGAGCCAGGACCAAGAGUUCAGCCCCAGCAGACCAGCCUGGGAUGACAGAUCCAGCACCAAGGAGAUGGAGAGCCAGGACCAAGAGUUCAGUCCUAAUAGGCCAGCCUGGGAUGACAGAUCCAGCAGCAGGGACAUGGAGAGCCGGGGCCAGGAGUUCAGUCCCAGCAGGCUGGCUGAAGCCAGUGAAUGCAGUACCAGGGACUUGGAAACCCAUGAUGAGUUCAGUCCCAGCAGAGCAGCCUGGGGUGACAGAUCCAGCAGCAAGGACAUGGAGACCCAGGACACUGAAUUCACAUCCAGCAGAGCAGCCAGGGAUGGCAGGCACAGCGCUGGGGACAUGGAGACCCGGAAUGGGGAGUUCAGCCCCAGCAGAAGUGUCUGGGAUGAAACAUCCAGCACCAGGGAUAUGGAGGCGCAGGACAGAGAGUUGAGCCCCAGUGGAGCAGCCCAGGAUGGGCAGCACAGCUCUGUGACUGCCAGGGAGGAAGAGCAGGAGCAGAUCCCAGCCCGGCUGAGCUGGCCCAGUGAGGGCAGCAUCGGACAGAGCGGGCUGGGCAGGGUUGGUGAGCAGGACAUGCCCAGCUCCCACCACCCCGAGCCCCUGGCCCAGGAGCCCACCUGGGGCAGUGCCCACCAGCAGGAGUGUCACAGCUCUGGCAGCAGGGACUGGGCUGGGGAGUUUGGAGCAGCUGAGUGCCAGAGCCAGUUUGGUGUCAUUGGCACAGAGCGGGUGCCAGAUCCCUGCAGUGCCGGAGCCUCGGAUGGCUCCAUGUCCGGGGUCCUGCCGCAGCCCCGGGCAGGCUUGCACAGGGAUCUCUCUCUGGACAUGGGCAAUGCCCGCUGGAGCCGGGACCUGGACAGCUGGAGUGUGGAGCCACAGGAUGCUGAGGCCAGGCGCCAGGAGUGGGCGAGUGCCUUCAGCGCCCGCUGUGCCGCCCGCAGCCGAGACCUUGGUGCGGGGGAGCGGAGCGUGGGAGGGGACACUGAUGCAGAGCACGGGUCGGCCCCAAGCCCUUCGAUGGGCGACGUUCCAGCUGAUUGCUUGGCUGUGGAGCCCCCCUGGAGUGAGUCACCCAGCAACUCGGAGGAGGAGAGGCAUCCCUCUGAACCAGCCACUGCCCCACAGAGCCCCACGGUCCCCCCUCUGCUGCCAGAGGCUGUCGGUGGGAUCCCAAUGAACGCACGAAGUGAGGAACAGCCCUCGGACCACCCAGACGGGGAGAGCUCCUUGAGCUGGAGGGAGCAGCGGCUCUCACUGACUACCCCCCAGCCUGAGGAGUCCAUGGAGCAGGGGCAGGAAUUUCCUCUUCUGGAGGUGAGUGGAAGUGGGGACACAGCGUGUGUCUGUGGAUGGGGCUCUCAGACCCUACUGCCCCCAGGGACAGCCAUGGAUUGGGGGCCCCCAGCACUGCUGUGGGGGCUGUGGGUGUGCUGGCUGGGGUGG